Long non-coding RNA from Motacilla alba alba, 3541 nucleotides. RefSeq lists it as uncharacterized. The transcript has 9 exons. The record is from RefSeq and is a predicted model, not a curated record. NCBI's taxonomy places the organism in Eukaryota, Metazoa, Chordata, Aves, Passeriformes, Motacillidae.
UCCCCGGGCUCCCCCACUGCUUCCCUCCGUCCCUCCCCACGAUGUUGUUUCGUUAUAUCAUGUCCAUCAUGUGACACCCGGAGGCCUCUCUAUGGAAACUUAAAGGGGACUUUCACGUCCGCCGCCGCCGGACCUGCCGAAAGGAAUAACCGGGGAAUAACCGGCCGGGCAGGCACCGUGCGGAAGGAUGGACCCCGCUCCGGAGGCGGGAUCCGGUGUUCGUCUGCGGCCGCGGCGGGUCUCUGGUGCUGGAAGAGGCAGAAAAACAACAACAAAAAAUCCAAAACAACCAAAAGAAAAAUAAAAAUAAAGGAAAUAAGGAGGAAAAAACCCUUGUUUGUGUCGGACUGAGGAGGAGCAGAUGUGAGCGGUUCUGCCCGUGCGGGGUCGAUGCGGUGGUCGCUACCGCCGCGUUUAACUCCGCCAGUCGGUAGCGAAGCGAUUUCACCGUCCCGACCCGUCGCACCGCCGGCUCCCGACAGCCGGCUCUGUGCCGAGCUGCUGGAAGGAGCCGCUCCUGGGGAUGUGCUCUGGCCGCUGCAACACUACCAGCAAGCAGCCAGCCCUCACGGAAAGGCAAAGGGAAGAUGCCGACAAUUCCCCGUGGUUCGGACAGCCCCCGGUUCCCCGCGCAUCCCACUGCCCGGCCGCAGCCGCCCGGGGGUGCGGGGCCGGCCGGCGGCAGCGCCGCGUUCCUCCGGCUGCUGUUCCGCCUGCGGUGCUGAAGUGGGUUUUAUUGCCUGCUCUCCAGCAGCCCCCAGGAUUUGGGAUCAGGGAGCUGAAGCCCACCCGCUCCACGGUCCCACCGCCGGGCGGACAACGUGCAGGGGGCUCUCGGGGUUUUCCCUCUGGAAGGUUCCUGUGGGAGGCCCCCAAAUUCUGCUCCCAAACUGGUGGCAUCAUAUCAUGCUUAAAGGAGGAAGAGGCUGGAGCUGGGAUUUAAAGAAGUCUUUUAGGAGUACUGCCAGAACUGAUCUGUUUUACUUUGCUGCUGCUGCUGUUCUGCUGUGUCAUGGGAAGAGUUUCCUCUCCACACCAACCCUUGGAAGCGGCACCUCGGGCAGAGCCGCUCGCUGCAAACCCCGGCCGUGUUUUACAAAGCCCCGGUAAAAAGAAAGACCUUCUCAUGAGGUCGGGACAAGAUCUGAUGUUAUUACACAAGGAAAUGGCUGAAGUUGUCUGCAGAGUUCUUCAGGUGCUCUGUUGGAGAUAGCACUCCUGGAUUUUAUUGGAGGGCUGCCUCCCUAAGGAAAUAAAGGUUCUGCUGUGCAGCUUUUCUGUGCAGCUGAUCUCGCUGGGAGCAGCCACCGGAGAGGGGACACCCUGGCGCUGCACGUACCAUACACGCUCAUCUCCAUUGCAAUUAGUUUGAUGCAACAAACAGCUCCAGCGUGACAAACUCCAGGCUAAAAAAAGCCAGGACUUCGUCUGCAUAAACUGGAUGCACCAAGAAAGGACUUCAGGAUGUUCUUGAAGAUUGAUUUGCAACUCAGGAUAGCAUUCAAAGAGCUGUUGCCAGGAGGUACAUUCACUACCUUGCAGGGAUUUAUAUCAAGACAGGAGGAGGAUAUUGCUGCUACCCACCUCCUUUGCACCUUGCAGGCUCUUGGGACACCACAGCCAUGAUCCAGGGUGCCAGCCAGCAGCUCCAGAAGGGAGCAAACCUCCACAGCAUGCUCCAGAUUUCUCCUCAUCCUCCCCCUUCCUCACUGACCAGCACUGGGCACCGACUGGUUUGUUGGUACAAGAGAGGCUGCAGCCUCCUUCAGCUGUCACAUCCUGAAUCCCUGCCAGGUUUGUGUUGCAAGAACUGAUGCCAGUGUUUUUAACCCAGAGUGUAUUUGGCCCCUAGUGUUCUCCAUGACAUAGAAUAAACAUUAGGGAGGAGAUUCAGGCUUCAAUGAGAAAUGCUUUCCCAUGAUACGUUUUCAUUUUGGCAUGCACACUGCUUAUGAUGAAAGGAUCCUAAAAUAAUUGUAUUAGAUGAACCGUCUGUUCUUCUUGCUUUGAGGCCAGUACAGCAUGACAUUUCAGAGAUAAAAUGUUGUGGAACAGCCUCUGACUUACAGCCCAAUGGAACUUUUCCGAAGCCAUCCUUCUCUCUUUUUUAUUUGCUUGAGGUUUAUAACCUGAAAACGUCAAGCUUGCAUCACACCGUUGCCAAAAGAUCGUCCUGUGCAUUAGCUAAAUCUUAAAUUAUCACCAAAUUAAAUUUUUUUCUUCAGAAGUCUGAUUCACAAGCAGUCAGCUCCCCUGUGGAAAAAACUCCACCCUUCCAAUUCAAAGGAAUUCCAGGAUUCACAAGAAGUACUAGGUUUCCAAGAGGAGACUAUCUGUCCUCAGAAGAACUUAUUUCUUCCUGCAAGUUCAAGUGAGUCUACGGGACCUUAAAUCAAAGGAGCCCAAUGCCAGGUCAGUUGCUGAGUAACUGAUCCUGAUCGUCACAUUUUGACCAGCUGGAUGAAUGACAGCAACAAUUUCUUGGGAUUGCGUCUGGAGUCUUCUGCAUUUUCUUUCCUGCAAUUAACUCAGGACUGCAACCUUAACGAGGGAAAAUUAUUUUAAGUUGCAGAUGGGCGGGUUUGUGCCACGUCCUUCGCACAAAGCUGCUGCUCCAAUAAACCAAAACAGCUCGCUGUUGUCUGAAAUGAAGAAUAAUUGGAAACACCGUGCCUGCUUCUUUCAGCACAAGUAACAAUUCGGCCAUUUAGGGCUCCUCUAACACUCCUGAGAGCUGAACAACUCAAGCCUUGGCUUCCUGCUAGCCAGGAAUAUUCAAACUCACAAACUCCUGGCAGCGUUUGCCUCUGUGCUGCACGAGGACGGAGCGCUCGGGGUGAAGCCACGCAAGGGAUCUGAAUCACCACGUGAAAAAGCUGAUGGGCAGCAACUUACCUGAACCCUCCCCAGCCCAGGGCUUGCCUGGCACGUGGGAAGUAAGGAAGCCUUGAAAAUGUUCUCCAGGAAAAAGCUGCAGUGGGUCUGCUGGCGAGCUCUUUGGGGUUCCCCUUGGUUGCCUGGGUUCACGCAGAUCCCUUGUGAUCCUCCUGGGCUCGCAGUGGGAGAAUGGAGAAAACCACCCAUGUUUCACCUGGGAUGUUGAAGCUCUCAGAGAGACCUUGGAGGACACACAGGAUACCAGAGGAAGGCAUGGGCAUGACACGCUGACGAGGAACUGGCUCACCCUUGCUCAUCCAGUGGAGAAGAUGUAGGACACCCCACCAUCCACUGAUCUUUUCAGUCAAAGGUUGGACUUGAUGGUCUUGGAGGUCUGUUCCAACCUUAUGAUUCUAUGAUUCUGUGUCUUGGAGGGAUUUUCAACCACCACCAGUUUCACUGGGGAACCAAACCACCGAGAACCAAUGGUUCUUUCCUACAGAGUCCAUCUCAGCCCUUUGGCAAUGAAGAGCUGUGAAUCUUUCCUGGAAAAAAACCACUCCCAGCACAGUCUGAGCCCUGGUUGUGUUGCUUUUUUUGAAGGAUCUAAACCCAAGGUCCAGGAUGAGCAUACAGCAAUAGCGACUGGCAUGAUGAAAGUAUC